Molecule: ribosomal RNA, 250 nt
Filed under: uncultured bacterium
Lineage: Bacteria
Description: partial 16S ribosomal RNA
Rfam family: Bacterial small subunit ribosomal RNA
Source: RNAcentral
UCCCUACGGGACGCAGCAGUAGGGAAUCUUCCACAAUGGACGAAAGUCUGAUGGAGCAACGCCGCGUGAGUGAAGAAGGGUUUCGGCUCGUAAAGCUCUGUUGGUAGUGAAGAAAGAUAGAGUUAGUAACUGGCCUUUAUUUUACGGUAAUUACUUAGAAAGUCACGGCUAACUACGUGCCAGCAGCCGCGGUAAUACGUAGGUGGCAAGCGUUUUCCGGAUUUAUUGGGCGUAAAGCGAGUGCAGGCGG